AGGUACGAUCAUACCAUCACUAAUGCACCGGAUCUUAUCAGAACUCUAGAGUUAAGUGUGCAUGGGAAAGAGUAGUAUGAGGACGGGUCACCUCCUAGAAGUCCUCGUGUUGCACCUC
Molecule: non-coding RNA, 118 nt
Organism: Lupinus angustifolius (narrow-leaved blue lupine)
Lineage: Eukaryota; Viridiplantae; Streptophyta; Magnoliopsida; Fabales; Fabaceae
Source: Rfam